GAUGAACGCUGGCGGCGUGCCUAAUACAUGCAAGUCGAGCGAACAGACGAGGAGCUUGCUCCUAUGACGUUAUCGGCGGUCGGGAGAGUACCAUAUGGUUAACCUACCUAUACGACUGGGGUAACAUUGGCAAACCGGAGCUACUGCCGGAUAAUAUAUUGCACCGCGUGGUUCACUAGUGGAAGUCGGUUUUUCUGUCAGUUAUAGCUGAAUCCGCGCCCCAUUAGCUAGUUGGUAAGGUGACUGCUUACCAAGGCAACGAUGCGUAGCCGACCUGAGAGGGACGUUGGCCAGACUGGAAGUGAGACACGGUCCAGACUCCGACGGUAGGCAGCAGUAGAGAAUCUUACGCAAUGGGGGAGAGCCUGACAGAGCAACGCCGCGUGAGUGAUGAAGGACUUCUGAUCGGAAAGCGCUGAUAUUAGUGAAGAACAAAUGUGUAAGUAACUAUGCACGUAUUGACGGUACCGGAACAGUAAGCUACGGCUAACUACGUG
This 497-nucleotide ribosomal RNA is filed under the name uncultured bacterium. RNAcentral describes it as "partial 16S ribosomal RNA". It matches the Rfam family "Bacterial small subunit ribosomal RNA", at positions 28 to 507 of the family's 1533-position model. The record is from RNAcentral.